Long non-coding RNA from Helianthus annuus (common sunflower), 1511 nucleotides. RefSeq lists it as uncharacterized. The record is from RefSeq and is a predicted model, not a curated record. Lineage: Eukaryota; Viridiplantae; Streptophyta; Magnoliopsida; Asterales; Asteraceae. The transcript is spliced from 3 exons.
AGUUAAAAACUCUCCAAAGUGGGAGGGCUAAUUGUGUAACUAGUGAAUAAAAAGGGUUAAUUGAGAAAUUAACAAAACAAAAACACAAACACGGUUGUGUUCGUGCGAACCAGGGGAGGAAGAAAGGGGAGCCAAAAACCCUAACUGCUAGAUAUCAAGAAAUUGAAGCCUAAAUCACAAGAAAAUUCGAUGCAUGGGUCCUCUUUUUCGAAAAUCUAACCCUAACUAAUGAAGUGGAACGUGUCAAGGAGAGCUCAAGCAUAGGAGGAUAACGGGUCAAGAUAAGGCAAGGUGACAAAUACACUUAUUGGAAUACUCAAGGUAAGUGAUUUCUAUAAUCACUUCUUUAGUUGUUUAAGUAAUAUAAUGUUUUAAUUAUUAAGUUCAUAUAAAGUUGAGGUUAAAUCAAUGGAUUAUUUUGAUAAAUGCACGAAUGGGUCGAAUAAUUCAUAGAUGAAUAACAAGCCGAAUACAUAUAAGUUAAGAAAUUCCUUAACUCGGAUGUUGGACUUCAAGAUCACGUGAUAGAAUAUUAUAUUACAAUCAUAUAGGAAGAAACAUGACGCAAAACGGACGAAAAAUGAGAGAGUUAUGUCCGUUUCAGUAAGGAUUAAUGGCUAGGAAAAGUGCAGAGUUGACACGGCCGGGUGGUGAACUGACACGGCCGGGUGAAAGUUCUGUCAAAAAUAUUAUUUAUGUAAUUUAUGCGCCGUAGGCUUCGGUAUAUUAUCCGUGAACUACGACGGGCCUCCCAAACAUGAUUUCGAGUGUUUCCUUGACGAUUAUAAGUUGUAAACCCAAGUCUAAGCCUCGUGUAAUUUAUAUAAGAGUGUGAUAGAUGUAUGUAAUGAAGUUGGACAUGUAUUACAUGUAAAUGUAUACAAAAAUACGUACGGAACACGUAGGUAUGAAUACAUGAUUGUAUGUAUGAUUAAAUGUAUAUUAGGUAUGUAGAUGUGUAUGAUUGUAAGUUUGUAUGUGUGCAAGUAUGUGCGAAUGCAUGAUUUGGAUGCAUUUGAGAAUUAGCGUUACUAAUAAUGCCCUUGGGUUUGGAAUAUAAGUUGAUUGGAUGCAUUUAAAUGGUUAACGUCCUUUUUAUGAAGAUGUAGUAAAUGAAUAUGUUGAGAUUACGGGUUUGGUUAACCAAGUUAUUAUUGAGUAUGUUUGAAAGUGCAGGUUAUGAAUGUCGGACUUUCGAAGUGUUGAUAUAAUAAUGAAACGGUUGAAUGUUGAAAGGAUAAUCGGAUUGAAGUAACUUAUGCGGUUAGAAUAUGCUAUGGACGUUUUAGUUUAUACAAUAUUAUAUGUUUGGUCGUCACCAUCUACUAACAGGUAAUUCCUCAAUUUUGGCGACUUGGAGAAUCGGAGCGAGCGCGUGUUCGUGUUAUGCGAUACCAAACGCUUCCGCUAGCUUGUUCAAAUGUUUUUGAUCCAAAAUUUGUUGUAUUGGUAUUUAGUAGUAUCUUGUUGAACGAAUUGUAGAAUUGUAUCUAGUUUGUUUAUGUUUAAAA